AGAGUUUGAUCAUGGCUCAGGAUGAACGCUGGCGGCGUGCCUAACACAUGCAAGUCGAACGAAGUCUUCGGACUUAGUGGCGGACGGGUGAGUAACGCGUGAGAACCUGCCUCGAGGAGGGGGAUAACAGCGGGAAACGGCUGCUAAUACCCCAUAUGCCGAAAGGUGAAAAGAAAUUUGCCUUGAGAGGGGCUCGCGUCCGAUUAGCUAGUUGGUGAGGUAAGAGCUUACCAAGGCGACGAUCGGUAGCUGGUCUGAGAGGAUGAGCAGCCACACUGGGACUGAGACACGGCCCAGACUCCUACGGGAGGCAGCAGUGGGGAAUUUUCCGCAAUGGGCGAAAGCCUGACGGAGCAACGCCGCGUGGGGGAAGAAGGCCUUUGGGUUGUAAACUCCUUUUCUCAGGGAAGAAGCACUGACGGUACCUGAGGAAUCAGCCUCGGCUAACUCCGUGCCAGCAGCCGCGGUAAUACGGAGGAGGCAAGCGUUAUCCGGAAUUAUUGGGCGUAAAGCGUUCGUAGGCGGCAUUUCAAGUCUGCUGUCAAAGGCCGAGGCUCAACUUCGGAAAGGCAGUGGAAACUGAAAAGCUAGAGGUCGGUAGGGGCAGAGGGAAUUCCCAGUGUAGCGGUGAAAUG
Molecule: ribosomal RNA, 635 nt
Filed under: uncultured cyanobacterium
Lineage: Bacteria; Bacillati; Cyanobacteriota
Description: bacterial SSU rRNA
Rfam family: Bacterial small subunit ribosomal RNA
Source: RNAcentral